UUGAAAUAAAAUUGUUAUUAGUUUUAUUAUUUUUAUAUUUUUAAUAAAAAUAAUUUUUUUUUAUUAAUAUUUUUGAAAAAAUUUAUUUUAUUAUAGUAAAUAGUAUUGAAAAAGAAUUAAUUUAAAUUUUUAUAAAGAAAGUUUUAAUUUUUGUACCUUGUGUAUCAGGGUUUAUUUAAAAUUAUUUUAAUAUUAAAUAUUCUCGAAUUUAAAAGAGCUAAAAAAUUAUUUUAUUUAUUAUAGAAUAAAUAUUUAAAAUAUUUUUUUAGUAAUGAAAUGUUAUUCGUUUUUAAAAAUAUCUAGUUUUUUAAGAAAUAAGUUUAAUUUAGUUAUUAUUAAUAUUUUUUUAAUUUUGUAAAAAUAUAUUGGUAAUAAUUAAUAUAUUUAGGGAUAAGCUUAAAUAUAAAUUAUUAAUAAAAAAUAAAUAUUUAAAAGUUUUAGGAUUAAAAAUUUUCAAAAUUUAAGUAUGUUAUAAUUAAUUUUAUUUAUUUAUAAUUUUUAUUUUUUAUAAAUUUUAUAUUAAAAUUUAUUUAUUAAUUAAAAAUAUUUAGUAAUAUUGAUAAAAUUAGUAUAAUUUUAUGUAUAUAUAUAAUAUUAAAUUUAGGUUAAUUAAAGGAAUUCGGCAAAAUAUUUUUCACCUGUUUAUUAAAAACAUGGCCUUUUGUUAAAAAUUUAAGGUCUAACCUGCCCACUGAUUUGAUUGAAGGGCCGCAGUAUUUUGACUGUGCUAAGGUAGCAUAAUCAUUAGUUUUUUAAUUGAAAGCUGGAAUGAAAGGUUGAAUGAAAAAAUAACUGUCUUUAAUUAAUUUAAUUAGAAUUUUAUUUUUAAGUUAAAAAGCUUAAAUAAUUUUAAAAGACGAGAAGACCCUAUAGAGUUUAAUAUUUAAUAAAUUUUAAAUUUUUUAGUAUUAAUUUGUUUAAAUUUAUUAUAUAUUUAAUUGGGGUGAUUAAAAAAUUUAAUAAACUUUUUUUUUAUUUUUAUAUUUAUAAAUAAAUCUAUGAUCCAAUAUUUUUGAUUAUAAGAAUAAAUUACCUUAGGKAUAACAGCGUAAUUUUAUUAGAGAGUUCUAAUCGAUAAUAAAGAUUGCGACCUCGAUGUUGGAUUAAAAUUUAAUUUUGGUGUAGAAGCUAAAAUAUUAAGUCUGUUCGACUUUUAAAAUUUUACAUGAUCUGAGUUUAAACCGGUGUGAGCCAGGUUGGUUUCUAUCUUUAAAUAGUUAAUAUAUUUUAGUACGAAAGGACCAAAUAUA
Molecule: ribosomal RNA, 1250 nt
Filed under: Chaetocnema scheffleri
Lineage: Eukaryota; Metazoa; Arthropoda; Insecta; Coleoptera; Chrysomelidae
Description: 16S ribosomal RNA
Rfam family: Archaeal large subunit ribosomal RNA (bases 1041-1198)
Source: RNAcentral